CCUACGGGCGGCUGCAGUGGGGGAUAUUGCACAAUGGGGGAAACCCUGAUGCAGCGACGCCGCGUGGGUGAAGAAGCGCCUCGGCGCGUAAAGCCCUGUCAGCAGGGAAGAAAAUGACGGUACCUGAAGAAGAAGCCCCGGCUAACUACGUGCCAGCAGCCGCGGUAAUACGUAGGGGGCAAGCGUUAUCCGGAUUUACUGGGUGUAAAGGGGGCGCAGACGGGGAUGCAAGCCAGGAGUGAAAGCCCGGGGCCCAACCGCGGGACUGCUCUUGGAACUGCGUGGCGAGAGUGCAGGAGGGGCAGGCGGAAUUCGUGGUGUAGCGGUGAAAUGCGUAGAUAUCAGGAGGAACACCGGUGGCGAAGGCGGCCUGCUGGACUGCAACUGACGUUGAGGCUCGAAAGCGUGGGGAGCAAACAGGAUUAGAUACCCUUGUAGUC
This 440-nucleotide ribosomal RNA is filed under the name uncultured bacterium. Its description in RNAcentral is "partial 16S ribosomal RNA". It matches the Rfam family "Bacterial small subunit ribosomal RNA", at positions 338 to 795 of the family's 1533-position model. The record is from RNAcentral.